AGGGCUGACACCACUUGAAGAUAAGCCCGUUCCUCUCUCUGGUAUAUUCUUUGCUUAAUAAAUCUUGUGGGGUGGUUAUUUGUGUGUCUCAUCCAAUUCUUUGUUCAUAACACCAAGAACCUGGAACUCCCAACUUCCAAUCUGGUAACAUAUUUUGGUGAGCCAGCCAGGAGGGUCAAGCCUGCAAUACCUAAAGCUCCAGACCUGGAACCCAAAGCUCCCAUCAGUCGCUACCCUGUGAACCUGUGGAGGAUCUGAAGUACCUGUUUAAAAGGCAUCCAAAAGAUAGAAUCUAUCAAGCUACAAAUGGCUAUGUUGCCUGAAGCCCCAGACAUCAUCCUACAAGAAAUAAGUCCAGACUUCUUAAUUUCCCCCUGGAUAGAGCAGGGUCUUGUUGAACUGGCUAGUGCUUCAACAACAAUGCUAAAUAAUAAAGGAUCUAACAAUAUUUCUGCUUUAAAUUGAUUUCAGAGGGAAUGUCUCUAACGUUGCAGUUAAGUAUCAUAUUCGAUUCAGUUGGAAAGACAUGGUUAAUGCUUAAGAGAGCCAGAAGAACCCAAAUCUUUGAACACACUUAGAGCAACCACAAACUGCUGUUAGAAAACUAAUGUUAAUGUUUAAGAAGUACUUGUUAUUUUAGUUUACCUUAUCAAAUUUGGUCCUGUCAGCAACAUCGAGAUCAGAGGCAGACAUGUUUCCCAUAUCCAACAGGGAAGAUGACUGAGAUCUGCGAUUCCCUGAACUCUGAACACUGAGCUUAUUUAGACUAGAAGUAGAUCCAGUUAAUUUCCCCGAACUUCCAUGAAGACCUAAGAAAUAAUAAAACUUUGAAAGUUGUGAUCUUCACAAAUAAAUGAUCCAAAGUAUAAAGCAGGGAUAGAUCUUCUAUCUUCUACUGGCUUGAUCUUCCAGGGCUCAUAUUAGUUAGUGCACAAAUCUUCUAUAAGGGAUAGGUGGUAUAGUUUCCUUAUCUUCCAUUAACAUUGGUGUCCUAAUUCUGAGCAUAUUGAAAAAAGAAGCGAAACUACACAGAUCCAUAGAACGGGACUGAAAGGGACCUUAAGGAGCAUAUUGUCUAUAACCUGCCCAUUUCAUAAAGUCGCCUGGUGAUAUCGCUAGACUAAAGUAGAUGAGGGUUUCUUUUCCAUUCAAAAGGACAGGAAUAUGGAUGAAGGUCAAUGAGGACCACGUUAGCAUAUUAGCCAGCAUGACUUUGUUAUACUUCAGAAGAAAACUGCUGCAUCUCAAUGUUACCUCCACAAUAAAUCAAUAUAUUAGGUUGAACCACAUGAAACUGCCCAUACUUGAUCAUUUUGCCCUACCAAAAAAAGUCAAUUACAUAUGAUUCAACUUAGUAUGUUCCAAACUCUGAAACUGCUUUUCCAGUAAGUGAACUGAUUAUAGUCCUUUAAAAACUAAAUAAAAUGAACAGAAAAAACA
Molecule: non-coding RNA, 1440 nt
Organism: Homo sapiens (human)
Lineage: Eukaryota; Metazoa; Chordata; Mammalia; Primates; Hominidae
Source: RefSeq, a predicted model, not a curated record